GUAUAUUUUGAUACAUUUCCCCUCAACCAUCGCAAUCAAUGGCAUAUUGGAAUAUCAGGCAAACACUUUUUCAUUUCCCCCCGCAUACACAUAUUAGUUGCGAUCGUUUGUUUGAAGAAGCAGAGAAUGAGUGGGAGAGAGAGAGAGAGAGAGAGAAAGCACGCUAGCUGCAAAAGCAACCAGCCUCCUCUCUCUCCUCUCCUCCCCUCCCCCCCCCAAACUCCACAACUUGUGAAAGUUGUUUUCCUAUAAUGAUCCCUCCGCAGGUUCACCUACGGAGA
RNAcentral lists this unclassified non-coding RNA (281 nucleotides) under uncultured fungus. RNAcentral's name for it is "sequence contains ITS1". The record is from RNAcentral. Lineage: Eukaryota; Fungi.